AUUGAACGCUGGCGGCAGGCCUAACACAUGCAAGUCGAAUGGUAACAGGAAACAGCUUGCUGUUUCGCUGACGAGUGGCGGACGGGUGAGUAAUGUCUGGGAAACUGCCUGAUGGAGGGGGAUAACUACUGGAAACGGUAGCUAAUACCGCAUAACGUCGCAAGACCAAAGAGGGGGACCUUCGGGCCUCUUGCCAUCAGAUGUGCCCAGAUGGGAUUAGCUAGUAGGUGGGGUAACGGCUCACCUAGGCGACGAUCCCUAGCUGGUCUGAGAGGAUGACCAGCCAUACUGGAACUGAGACACGGUCCAGACUCCUACGGGAGGCAGCAGUGGGGAAUAUUGCACAAUGGGCGCAAGCCUGAUGCAGCCAUGCCGCGUGUAUGAAGAAGGCCUUCGGGUUGUAAAGUACUUUCAGCGGGGAGGAAGGGAGUAAAGUUAAUACCUUUGCUCAUUGACGUUACCCGCAGAAGAAGCACCGGCUAACUCCGUG
Molecule: ribosomal RNA, 490 nt
Filed under: uncultured bacterium
Lineage: Bacteria
Description: partial 16S ribosomal RNA
Rfam family: Bacterial small subunit ribosomal RNA
Source: RNAcentral